AGGUUUAGCUCAGCUGGGAGAGCAUCUGCCUUACAAGCAGAGGGUCAGCGGUUCGAUCCCGUGAAGCU
This 68-nucleotide transfer RNA is filed under the name Listeria monocytogenes. RNAcentral describes it as "tRNA-Val". It matches the Rfam family "tRNA", at positions 6 to 65 of the family's 71-position model. Rfam says of the family: Transfer RNA (tRNA) molecules are approximately 80 nucleotides in length. Their secondary structure includes four short double-helical elements and three loops (D, anti-codon, and T loops). Further hydrogen bonds mediate the characteristic L-shaped molecular structure. tRNAs have two regions of fundamental functional importance: the anti-codon, which is responsible for specific mRNA codon recognition, and the 3' end, to which the tRNAs corresponding amino acid is attached (by aminoacyl-tRNA synthetases). tRNAs cope with the degeneracy of the genetic code in two manners: having more than one tRNA (with a specific anti-codon) for a particular amino acid; and 'wobble' base-pairing, i.e. permitting non-standard base-pairing at the 3rd anti-codon position. Lineage: Bacteria; Bacillati; Bacillota; Bacilli; Caryophanales; Listeriaceae. The record is from RNAcentral.